AUGAUUUCCACAACUCGAAGAUAC
RNAcentral lists this non-coding RNA (24 nucleotides) under Arabidopsis thaliana (thale cress). The record is from RNAcentral. Lineage: Eukaryota; Viridiplantae; Streptophyta; Magnoliopsida; Brassicales; Brassicaceae.